UACAGAGGUGGCAAGCGUUGUUCGGAAUUACUGGGCGUAAAGGGCGCGUAGGCGGUCUUGCAAGUCCUGUGUGAAAUCCCUCGGCUCAACUGAGGAACUGCACAGGAAACUGCUUGGCUUGAGUUCGGGAGAGGGAAGCGGAAUUCCGGGUGUAGCGGUGAAAUGCGUAGAUAUCUGGAGGAACACCGGUGGCGAAGGCGGCAUCCUGGACCGGCAUUGACGCUGAGGAGCGAAAGCCAGGGGAGCAAACGGG
Molecule: ribosomal RNA, 253 nt
Filed under: uncultured bacterium
Lineage: Bacteria
Description: partial 16S ribosomal RNA
Rfam family: Bacterial small subunit ribosomal RNA
Source: RNAcentral